UUUCUACUCCCUUCGUCCGGAAAUACUUGUCCUAAAAAUAGAUAUAUUGAAUGUAUCUAUAACUAAAAUAAGUCUAGAUUCAUCCAUUCCUAGGACAGGUAUUUCCGAAGGGAGGGAGUAUUUG
Non-coding RNA from Hordeum vulgare subsp. vulgare (domesticated barley), 124 nucleotides. NCBI's taxonomy places the organism in Eukaryota, Viridiplantae, Streptophyta, Magnoliopsida, Poales, Poaceae. The record is from Rfam.